GUUCAUUUGUUGCACAAUUCGUUACAGUCUAUUUUGCAGAUAAAAUGAGUGUUCUCCACAUAGUAAAUUACAGUGAAUGCACGUAUUUUGAGUCUUGCGAUCUUUAUUUCCGAUCAGUUUACAGGCGUGUAAAUGGCCGAAAACAUUUAUUGUGAUUAAAGUUAUUCCAAGCUGAUCUCGUUCUCAGUGCCAAUAAUUGUGGUGCAGAGUAAUCUUCACCAAACGAGACUCUGGCAGCAACAGCACCAUCAUAAAGCAAUAGCCCUCUCGUACAGGAGAUUAUUGUUGACUAUUGUAAAUUGGUGCUUCAAUAAACUGUCAUAAAUGAAUUAAUUCAACUGCGUGAUAAAGUUAUUCCCUUUUCUCUCCUAAGCGAAGCAGAUUUAUUCUUAUCUCUAUUUAUCAACCCCUAACAUUGAACGUAAGAUUGUACAAAAAGUGUUCGAGUUAUAUGGCGCAUUUGAACUCGUCUGUCAAAAAAUUGGCACAUGGUAUGCAAAAGGUUGGCCACCCCUGGUAUAAGGGUUAUCUAAAAGUCAUCUGUUAUUAGUGACGCUCGCCUCUUCAAUUUCAACCUCGUGUAGUUCUGAUCUUGUUAAUAGUUCGGGGUCUUCGUUAAAUCUAGAUUUCAUGACGUCACAGAAAGGGUGUGUGUUAGGCUGUGAGAUAUAUACGGAAUAUGUUAGAAUAGUGUUUUAUUUUUUUGAUAAUCAUUCAAAGUGAUACCUUUUUAUAGUUUAGAAAACUUUUAGUAAUACUUUUCAGCAACUUUUAGUCGUACUUUUAGUAAUUACUUUUCUGGCUAUUAUAUAUGACAGGGGAAAAUUUAUGGCAAUCGGUCAAGAAAUAAUUCUUCCAAGAUUUUUAAUUUUGGACUCCGGUUUUUAAAUCUUCGAGAAAUACAAAUAAUUUUUUCACCCUGUUUGAAGCUUAAUAACUCUUGUGCCUAUUGUCGAAAAUGUCUGAAAUUUUGCAGUGAGGUUUGUGCAUUACAGGGAUUAAAGCUGCUAAAUUUUGACGGUUACAGGAAGUGAAGAGAUAAACGGAUAUCGUGUCAUAUUUCGAGUAGGGUUACGCUUAAUGAUGAUUUUACUCGUAAUUAGCAUUUCCAAUAUUUUAUAAUACGUAGCCUACUCUCAAAAUUAAGUUAUUUGCCAUUUUAUAAUAAGUUAGUACAUGUAAAUGUUUCAUUCUUGAAGCCGAAUUAUAAUUACCAUAAACUUCGAUCAGUACCCGAGAGAGGUAAUUUGCUCAUCAUUGUGGUUCUUUAAACAUGACUGUCGGUAGCUUUAGGUCAACACUGGAACGGAGGAAGGGGCUUAUUACAAGUCGGACAAAGUCGAACGAAAAGAAAGGGGUUGAACUUUAAUGGAGUGAGAAAAGUUUUGCGAAGAUUUGAGUUUUGUUCGACGUUCAAAGAAGAGUACGGAAACUUGGACAAACUGGGUAGAAAAAAAUCGAUAUUUCGGAUAACCGAUUGUG
Centruroides sculpturatus (bark scorpion) is the source of this 1482-nucleotide long non-coding RNA. RefSeq lists it as uncharacterized. NCBI's taxonomy places the organism in Eukaryota, Metazoa, Arthropoda, Arachnida, Scorpiones, Buthidae. The record is from RefSeq and is a predicted model, not a curated record. The transcript has 2 exons.